GAUGAACGCUGGCGGCGUGCCUAAUACAUGCAAGUCGAGCGAACGGACGAGAAUCUUGCUUCUCUGAUGUUAGCGGCGGACGGGUGAGUAACACGUGGAUAACCUACCUAUAAGGCUGGGAUAACUUCGGGAAACCGGAGCUAAUACCGGAUAAUAUUUUGAACUGCAUGGUUCAAAAGUGAAAGACGGUCUUGCUGUCACUUAUAGAUGGAUCCGCGCUGCAUUAGCUAGUUGGUAAGGUAACGGCUUACCAAGGCAACGAUGCAUAGCCGACCUGAGAGGGUGAUCGGCCACACUGGAACUGAGACACGGUCCAGACUCCUACGGGAGGCAGCAGUAGGGAAUCUUCCGCAAAGGGCGAAAGCCUGACGGAGCAACGCCGCGUGAGUGAUGAAGGUCUUCGGAUCGUAAAACUCUGUUAUAAGGGAAGAACAUAUGUGUAAGUAACUGUGCACAUCUUGACGGUACCUAAUCAGAAAGCCACGGCUAACUACGUG
RNAcentral lists this ribosomal RNA (497 nucleotides) under uncultured bacterium. RNAcentral describes it as "partial 16S ribosomal RNA". It matches the Rfam family "Bacterial small subunit ribosomal RNA", at positions 28 to 507 of the family's 1533-position model. The record is from RNAcentral.